CCUACGGUAGGCAGCAGUGGGGAAUAUUGGACAAUGGGGGCAACCCUGAUCCAGCCAUGCCGCGUGUGUGAAGAAGGCCCUCGGGUUGUAAAGCACUUUCAGUGAGGAAGAACGCCUGGUGGUUAAUACCCAUCAGGAAAGACAUCACUCACAGAAGAAGCACCGGCUAACUCCGUGCCAGCAGCCGCGGUAAUACGGAGGGUGCGAGCGUUAAUCGGAAUUACUGGGCGUAAAGCGCGCGUAGGUGGCUUGAUAAGCCGGUUGUGAAAGCCCCGGGCUCAACCUGGGAACGGCAUCCGGAACUGUCAAGCUAGAGUGCAGGAGAGGAAGGUAGAAUUCCCGGUGUAGCGGUGAAAUGCGUAGAGAUCGGGAGGAAUACCAGUGGCGAAGGCGGCCUUCUGGACUGACACUGACACUGAGGUGCGAAAGCGUGGGUAGCAAACAGGAUUAGAUACCCUUGUAGUC
Molecule: ribosomal RNA, 465 nt
Filed under: Vreelandella stevensii
Lineage: Bacteria; Pseudomonadati; Pseudomonadota; Gammaproteobacteria; Oceanospirillales; Halomonadaceae
Description: partial 16S ribosomal RNA
Rfam family: Bacterial small subunit ribosomal RNA
Source: RNAcentral